UCUUCCCCUAUUUCCUAUGUCCUGGACUCCUGGUGAGAUGGAUAGAUGAUCCUCGCCGGAUCAGGCCAAGCGCCCGCUGGCUAGGUUUCACUUUACCGCUCUUCCGCGCGGCAGAGCCGUCAACGGGCCGCUCCCGAACCCAAAAAAGGGACCCAUAUCCAAAAUCCCACUCCCGUGAAUACAAAAUAUCCUUUCUUUUUCGGGCCGCUUUCGGGAUAUCUACUCCUGUUUGAG
RNAcentral lists this small RNA (234 nucleotides) under Histoplasma capsulatum var. duboisii H88. RNAcentral's name for it is "Histoplasma capsulatum H88 hypothetical RNA". The record is from RNAcentral. Lineage: Eukaryota; Fungi; Ascomycota; Eurotiomycetes; Onygenales; Ajellomycetaceae.